GAUGAACGCUAGCUACAGGCUUAACACAUGCAAGUCGAGGGGAACGANAUCGAAAGCUUGCUUUUGGUGGGCGUCGACCGGCGCACGGGUGAGUAACGCGUAUCCAACCUGCCCACCACUUGGGGAUAACCUUGCGAAAGUAAGACUAAUACCCAAUGAUAUCCCACGAAGGCAUCCGAAUGGGAUUAAAGGUUACGGUGACGGAUGGGGAUGCGUCUGAUUAGCUUGUUGGCGGGGUAACGGCCCACCAAGGCAACAAUCAGUAGGGGUUCUGAGAGGAAGGUCCCCCACAUUGGAACUGAGACACGGUCCAAACUCCUACGGGAGGCAGCAGUGAGGAAUAUUGGUCAAUGGGCGGAAGCCUGAACCAGCCAAGUAGCGUGCAGGAAGACGGCCCUAUGGGUCGUAAACUGUCUUUUAUAGGGGAAUAAAGUGAGCCACGUGUGGUUUUUGCAUGUACCCUAUGAAUAAGGACCGGCUAAUUCCGUG
This 489-nucleotide ribosomal RNA is filed under the name uncultured bacterium. RNAcentral describes it as "bacterial SSU rRNA". It matches the Rfam family "Bacterial small subunit ribosomal RNA", at positions 28 to 507 of the family's 1533-position model. The record is from RNAcentral.